Molecule: transfer RNA, 89 nt
Filed under: Fibrobacter sp.
Lineage: Bacteria; Pseudomonadati; Fibrobacterota; Fibrobacteria; Fibrobacterales; Fibrobacteraceae
Description: tRNA-Ser
Rfam family: tRNA
About the family: Transfer RNA (tRNA) molecules are approximately 80 nucleotides in length. Their secondary structure includes four short double-helical elements and three loops (D, anti-codon, and T loops). Further hydrogen bonds mediate the characteristic L-shaped molecular structure. tRNAs have two regions of fundamental functional importance: the anti-codon, which is responsible for specific mRNA codon recognition, and the 3' end, to which the tRNAs corresponding amino acid is attached (by aminoacyl-tRNA synthetases). tRNAs cope with the degeneracy of the genetic code in two manners: having more than one tRNA (with a specific anti-codon) for a particular amino acid; and 'wobble' base-pairing, i.e. permitting non-standard base-pairing at the 3rd anti-codon position.
Source: RNAcentral
GGAGAGGUGUCCGAGUGGUUGAAGGAGACGGUCUCGAAAACCGUUAAGCUGAAUUUUCGGCUUCCAGGGUUCGAAUCCCUGCCUCUCCG